This 1075-nucleotide long non-coding RNA is filed under the name Phoenix dactylifera (date palm). Its description in RNAcentral is "long non-coding RNA (PDAC_LNC007149)". The record is from RNAcentral. Lineage: Eukaryota; Viridiplantae; Streptophyta; Magnoliopsida; Arecales; Arecaceae.
AAAUUUUAUCCUUGCUUCCCAAGUACACUAGGUCAUGAUUAACCCUCGAGAUAGUUGCCGUAUUUGUACCAUCAUAUGAUCAAGUAAUCAUAUUCUAGAUCCAAAUUUGAACAAAGCCAAUUCUAGUUUCUCUUGACAAUUCCAUUAUACAAGUUGAUAUUUAUUCUAAACUUCGAUAAUUAAAAGAUUCUAGAUUAACUUACUCAGGAGCUUACUCAAUCAUCCCGAAUCUUUUCUUUUAGGCUAAACUUAUUUGAGCCUCUCAUGAUAUCCCACUUGCAUUUCACAUAUGAUGAUACAAAAUCCAUAAUCAACUCAUGGCCUUGAUUUAUAAAUAUUAAACUCAAAAGAAUCUAAUAAUCUAGUUUAAAGAUUUACAAGAAAUUCUACUAAGAUAUAAGCUCUAUGAUUUUACAUUGAGAUCAACUCCUCAAAUAAGUAAAAUAUUUUUAUUUGUAAUACUGCAAACAUUUCGGGAUCUUGUAAAUCUACUGGACUUAGAGAAUUUACUAAUAACACAAUGAUAUCCAUAUCGAUCAAAAUAAAAAAUACUAUACUUUCCAAUGAUUUUUUUUUUUUGCAUAAUAGAUAGAAGUACCUACACUAAUGACACCAUGAUAUCCAUAUCAGUCAAAAUCAAAAACACUAUUCUUUUCUUUGACAUUGAAAUUCUUCUUAAAAAAGAAAAACCAUCAGAAACUAUUUCCAAAUCACAAAGUUAAUAUCGCUGACCAGCUUAAAAUAAUUUAAACAAUCAAUAUUCUCAUAAUUUACUAAAUCACUUUCAAUUAAAAUACCAAUCUGUAUUGUAAUUUGAAAAGAUCUAAAAUCUCAAAUUCUAGGUAAAGCCAAAAGAAAAUUCUAGAAUUUCAUCCCAAAUAUGUUUUCUAUCUACACAAGAGUUUCAUACAUGAUCCACAUACAAAAUUUCAAUCCUCGAAGAAUAUUUCAAUGAAUAUUAUAAAAUAUUUUCUAGUCCAAACUUUAAACAACCUUUUAUAAAUGAACCUUAACUUGCCACCAAAAUAAUUAACUUGAACUAGAGGCAAUAUCCACAGUGCCUGAUAUCAAGUUA